UUAGUUUUAUGUUAUUUGAAGUUCAAUGAAAUAUUUACAAUUAUUUAACUUUUACGACUUUUUUCCGCCUCACCUUGAUCAGGCAUGCGCUUGCACCUAGGCUCUAGGGGCAAAUUAUAGAGUACAACUGGUGCACUAAAAAAUAGUGCACCUCAUACUCAAUUUUAAUUAUUCCUCAAGGAGGGUAGGUCUCAUGUAUAUGUGAGAGAAGGAGCAUGCGCUCUAGGAGUAUUGAAUAAUCUCUCACCUUGUAUCUAUAUGUACCUGUAAUUUAGUACUAGGCAUGGCAAUCAAUAAAGCUAGCCUCUCUCUGUCUAUUUCUUUCCUUUCCAAGUAGACAAAAGUUACUUGAUUCUUUUUCCUUCCUCUUUUGCUUUUUGUUUCAUGCCCCCAUUUGUACAUAUUCUAUUUUCAAACCAGGAUUUUGCAUUGCUGCAUGCACAGGGAUAAUUAAUGGAACUUGCCAACUUAGUACGGAUUUAUGUGGACUUAUAUUUUUGAGAUUUGAAUAUAUAAUUGUCACUUUUAAAAGGAGUUCCCAUUUGCAAACAGAUAGAAUAUGAAACAGUUCAAG
RNAcentral lists this unclassified non-coding RNA (574 nucleotides) under Hevea brasiliensis (rubber tree). Lineage: Eukaryota; Viridiplantae; Streptophyta; Magnoliopsida; Malpighiales; Euphorbiaceae. The record is from RNAcentral.